This 77-nucleotide transfer RNA is filed under the name Streptomyces phage Starbow. RNAcentral describes it as "tRNA-Glu". It matches the Rfam family "tRNA". From Rfam's summary of the family: Transfer RNA (tRNA) molecules are approximately 80 nucleotides in length. Their secondary structure includes four short double-helical elements and three loops (D, anti-codon, and T loops). RNAcentral also lists the same sequence under 3 other names. Lineage: Duplodnaviria; Heunggongvirae; Uroviricota; Caudoviricetes; Stanwilliamsviridae. The record is from RNAcentral.
GCCCCGGUAGGAUAGUCCGGUCCAAUCCGCCAGACUCUCAAUCUGGAAAUCACGGGUUCAAAUCCCGUUCGGGGUAC